UAAACACUUUGCAUAUUGUCAUCGCUCUAGGAAACAUGUACAUUACUUUAUAUGAUAGCAAUAUUCUGAGAAUUUCUUAUGUUUGUAUGUACCUCCAAGGUAACACCACUUGGUGAAAUAGGCUUGAGACUUUAUAAUCAUUAAAUACAUUAAACCUUGCUGUUUAAUAUUUUCCUUUUUGAAGUCUUUUAGGAAUCUACAUAAUAUUAAGGUAAAAUUCUAGGUUUAAUACUGUGAUAACCUGAGUACACACACAAUUUUAAUAUUUUAUCCUUUGAAUUUAGGUACAAGUUAUGGAAGAUAAAUUAAAAGCAGCUAAUAUUCAAACCAGUGAAUCAGAGACAAGAUUAUAUAAUAAGUGUCAAGAUCUGGAGUCGCUAAUACAGGAAAAAGAUGACAUCAUUCAAAACUUGGAAUUGCAACUUGAAGAGCAGAAACAAAUAAGAAUACAAGAAGCUAAAAUAAUAGAAGAGAAAGCAGCUAAGAUAAAAGAAUGGGUAACAGUUAAGUUAAAUGAGCUGGAAUUGGAGAAUCAGAAUCUUCGUUUGAUCAACCAAAACCAAACUGAAGAGAUAAGAAC
This 580-nucleotide small RNA is filed under the name Pan troglodytes (chimpanzee). Its description in RNAcentral is "retained intron". The record is from RNAcentral. Lineage: Eukaryota; Metazoa; Chordata; Mammalia; Primates; Hominidae.